UGGGGAAUUUUGGACAAUGGACGCAAGUCUGAUCCAGCCAUGCCGCGUGCGGGAAGAAGGCCUUCGGGUUGUAAACCGCUUUUGUCAGGGAAGAAAAGGUUCUGGUUAAUACCUGGGACUCAUGACGGUACCUGAAGAAUAAGCACCGGCUAACUACGUGCCAGCAGCCGCGGUAAUACGUAGGGUGCAAGCGUUAAUCGGAAUUACUGGGCGUAAAGCGUGCGCAGGCGGUUAUGCAAGACAGAGGUGAAAUCCCCGGGCUCAACCUGGGAACUGCCUUUGUGACUGCAUAGCUAGAGUACGGUAGAGGGGGAUGGAAUUCCGCGUGUAGCAGUGAAAUGCGUAGAUAUGCGGAGGAACACCGAUGGCGAAGGCAAUCCCCUGGACCUGUACUGACGCUCAUGCACGAAAGCGUGGGGAGCAAACA
Molecule: ribosomal RNA, 427 nt
Filed under: uncultured prokaryote
Description: bacterial SSU rRNA
Rfam family: Bacterial small subunit ribosomal RNA
Source: RNAcentral